GACGAACGCUGGCGGCGUGCUUAACACAUGCAAGUCGAACGGAAAGGCGCUGCGUUUGUUGGUUUCUCGAGUGGCGAACGGGUGAGUAACACGUGAGUAACAUGCCCUUGACUUUGGGAUAACUUCAGGAAACUGGGGCUAAUACCGGAUAGGAUCUCCUGCUGCAUGGUGGUGAUUGGAGAGUUUCGGCGGUUGGGGAUGGACUCGCUGCUUAUCAGCUUGUUUGUGGGGUAGUGGCUUACCAAGGCUUUGACGGGUAGCCUGCCUGAGAGGGUGACCGGCCACAUUGGGACUGAGAUACGGAGCAGAAGCGUAUGGGCGGCAGCAGUCGGGAACAUUGCACAAUGGCCGGACGCGUGAUGCGGAAACGCUGCGUGCGGGAUGACGGCCUUUGGGUUGUAAACAGAUUUCGACUGUGACGAAGCGUGAGUGACGGUAAUGGGUAAAGAAGCAACGGCUAACUACGUG
RNAcentral lists this ribosomal RNA (468 nucleotides) under uncultured bacterium. RNAcentral's name for it is "partial 16S ribosomal RNA". It matches the Rfam family "Bacterial small subunit ribosomal RNA", at positions 28 to 507 of the family's 1533-position model. The record is from RNAcentral.